Molecule: ribosomal RNA, 486 nt
Filed under: uncultured bacterium
Lineage: Bacteria
Description: partial 16S ribosomal RNA
Rfam family: Bacterial small subunit ribosomal RNA
Source: RNAcentral
AUUGAACGCUGGCGGCAUGCCUUACACAUGCGAGUCGAGCGGCAGCGCGGGGGCAACCCUCGCGGCGAGCGGCCAACGGGCGGGUGAUUCAUCGGAACGUAUCCUCGCGUGGGGGCUAAGCCAGCGAAGGUUGGGCUAAUACCGCAAGAGCUCAGAGGAGGAAAGCGGGGGACCUGCGGGGGCCUCGCGCUGGAGGGGCGGCCGAUGUCCGAUUAGCUAGUUGGUGGGGUAAAGGCUUACCAAGGCGACGAUCGGUAGCUGGUCUGAGAGGAUGAUCAGCCACACUGGAACUGAGACACGGCCCAGACUCCUACGGGAGGCAGCAGUGGGGAAUUUUGGACAAUGGGGGCAAGCCUGAUCCAGCCAUGCCGCGUGAGUGAAGAAGGCCUUCGGGUUGUAAAGCUCUUUUGUUCGGAACGAAAAGGGGUGGACUAAUACUCCUGUGUGAUGACGGUACCGAAAGAAGAAGCACCGGCUAACUACGUG